CUUGGAAAGUGUGUAGUGUGCAGCAGGCCCAGGAAGUAUGCACACCUGUCGGCAGACAACUGCCUCCUCUAGAGUAAGAAACAGGUAAGAAGCCUGCUUAAAACACGCGCCUGUCUGCAGCUGAGUGCCUCUCCUCUAGGAUAAAACAGCUUAAAUAUCUAAAAUGACAGGAAGGGGAGCCUGAGAAGCCCUCCCCCCCCC
Non-coding RNA from Anolis sagrei ordinatus, 201 nucleotides. NCBI's taxonomy places the organism in Eukaryota, Metazoa, Chordata, Lepidosauria, Squamata, Anolidae. The record is from RefSeq and is a predicted model, not a curated record.